GAGGGCACAAGCCUGGGAAAGUAGGGGAAAAAGAUUAGAUUGCGGAAGGAAGGGCACAAUCCCUGGAGAAUCCAGAAAAGAAAUUGGUGGACACUGAAGAAAUACUUGCUGAGUUGUGAUGACAGACCUCAGUCCCAGUCUGCAAUCUGUCACUGUUGCUGUGGAGGGUCACUUCAAUAGUAACUUUACCAACAUUCUCAUCUGUAAAAUGGGGACAAAGAUAGCUACUUUGCAGAAUUGUUAUGAGAAUCAGAGAAAGGAGUUGGCACCAGAAGAUGUUAACAAGAUUGAAGAUAGUAAAUUGAACAGGACGUUGCCCUCCCUGUGCACUGGUUUUGGGAUCUGAUGGGGUUUGAACCUUGGCUGUACCCCUUACUGGGUCAGUGGCCUCAAGGAAGGCCUUGCUGCCUCUUUGCUGCAGUUUUCUCAUCUGGAAAGAGGGGGUUAAAUGAGGUUACCCAUCUUACGUGUCAGCUAGUGCCUGGCACAUACACAAUGGAUGCUAAAGGCCACGGCCAUUUCCAGAGGCGUUAUCGUUGCCUCGGCCCACUGGAUUGCACAAUGACCUCAGAGUCAGAAGAAUUUGGACUGGAUAACUUUUCCAUUUUUUCACUUUAGUAAACUAGGAAUAAUAAAA
Molecule: long non-coding RNA, 637 nt
Organism: Artibeus jamaicensis (Jamaican fruit-eating bat)
Lineage: Eukaryota; Metazoa; Chordata; Mammalia; Chiroptera; Phyllostomidae
Exons: 3
Source: RefSeq, a predicted model, not a curated record